This is a long non-coding RNA of Biomphalaria glabrata, 1015 nucleotides long. RefSeq lists it as uncharacterized. NCBI's taxonomy places the organism in Eukaryota, Metazoa, Mollusca, Gastropoda, Planorbidae. The transcript is spliced from 5 exons. The record is from RefSeq and is a predicted model, not a curated record.
AUCUAUUUUGUAUAUUUUAUUUUAAUUACUUUUAUAGGCUAGUGCUGAGUGCAUGCCUGUCUCCCGCCAGCUCUUUUACUUUAGAAGUUAGUUUGUACGAGUCAUGACCUGGCUCUAUAAAUAGAAUGGAUGAUGUAGUGUCUUGUCCCUUUUUCCGGUGUUGACCGCUGGUCAGUGCUUGAUUAGCUGGUCUGUGUGACCAAGCAGUGAUUUAGAAAGUUUGUAUUUAGUGUUGUUCUGUGUGGACUGCCUGCUAUAAUUCCUGUUCUGCCUGUCAUCUGCUUUUCUGCCGCUAGUAGCUUACUGUUUAGUGUUGGAGUAAUUUAGAUUAUACUUUCCCCUUCACUGACACACAAGACAGACAGGUGAACGCAUCCAUGUCCAGACCAUAGAAUACUGUCGAGCAGUCAAGAAGAUAUGGAUUUGAAGAGGAAGUGAUGCCUUCUUAUCCCUAAGAGUUUAUCAACAGAAUGAAUACCACAAAAGUCACUUGUUACAUCAGACACUCCCCCUCUAAAACUUCCAUACUAGAAUUUGUCCAGUGCCUGUGAUGCUCUGAGCUGAAGGAGAAUGUUAGUGCUUCAUAAUAUCUACCAGUAUCUUGCUGUUAGCUUGAAGCUCAUGAAUAUUAUGUAGUCCUAGCUAUGAUGAUACUGAAACUACAAUUUGUGAGAACUUAAGCAUUAUAGCUAUAUCUAAUAUUAAUAGUUUGCGCGAAGUUAUUUGAAAAUUAUUUUUAAUUAUAUUAAAUAUAGUUACACAACUUGGAAAACUUGUUAGAUUCUCAAUUAUUUAGCAUUAUUUUUUUUUUUACAAAUUUAAAUGUAAUCUGUAUCAAGCUUUUAAAAACUAUACUGUCUGCUUUAAAUAACUUACUUACUUGCUUUAAAUAACAUAUGACUGAAAACUUAUUGCAUUGCUCAGUCAAGCUAAAGAAACAGUCCUGUAUUAUAGAUCUCAGAUUACCUCUACUAGCUAUGUCAAUGUAGCAAAGAUAAACAAAUAUUAAUUAUAC